UUCUAGAAUGAAAAGCAAAAUUAAAGGUUAACAGCAUCUUAAGGUUAGAAGUAAUGGUAGGGUCAACAUAUUUCAUAAAUAAAAUGAAUAGGCAAACAACUCUGAAGGGGAGUUCAAGGAUAAAGGGGAGAGGCUUUCUUUCAAUUCUUGGUUGACAUCUUGAAUCCUAGUUUUGACUGGCUCCUGUUGGUUUCUCCAAAUGAUGUGGUGUGUAUGGUGUCCUCAGAAGUCAGAAGAUAGCAUCAGAUUCCCUGCCACUGGAGUUACAGAAAACUGUGAGCCAACAUAUGGAUGCUGAGAAUCAAAUCCUCCAGAAGAGCAGCCAAUGCUUGUAACCAUUGAGCCAUCUCUUCAGCCCAGCAUAUAUGCAUUUGAAAUUGCUAAUAAAAUUGCACUCAAGAACAAAAAA
Peromyscus eremicus (cactus mouse) is the source of this 409-nucleotide long non-coding RNA. RefSeq lists it as uncharacterized. The transcript is spliced from 3 exons. The record is from RefSeq and is a predicted model, not a curated record. Lineage: Eukaryota; Metazoa; Chordata; Mammalia; Rodentia; Cricetidae.